Molecule: long non-coding RNA, 2302 nt
Filed under: Pan troglodytes (chimpanzee)
Lineage: Eukaryota; Metazoa; Chordata; Mammalia; Primates; Hominidae
Description: lincRNA
Source: RNAcentral
CAAAUUUUGGGUGAAAUGUCCCAAUUGUCGGAAGGUUAAAGUGUUCUCUGAUGUAAAAUUUAGGUCACACUCUAUAAAGCUUCUCCUUGGUCUGUGUGUGAACAGCUAGUCUGUAUCUUCACCUAUGCAUAUUUAAAAAUCAACCUUAAGAAGGCUCUUGGCCACCAUAAUCCUUCCUACACUGUAGCAAGAGCCCAGCCUCAGACUAUGCUUCCUUGUGCCUCCGACUGCAAUGCCUUCCCCCGAAUCUCCAAGGUACCAAACCGGUCAGGGGUAGCUGAGACAGCUCUACUUCUAGGAGUCCUCCCCAAGCCCUUGAAAUCACAGGCAUCUCUGCUGUCCCUGCCCUUCAUCCACAUGACUGAACAAUUAAGCACACACAUCUGUGUAGUUUUAUUUAAACUGUUCCAUGUGUGUUUACAAUUAACAACAUGAAUGGCUGCGGUAUGGAUGCAGCAGAAAGGAAUGCUGAGGGAGGACUCCAGUUAGAAUGAGCCAGUUUUCCAGGACUAGGAAUGAACUUUCCCCAGUACCAACAAGGCAGCCUCCAGGGCAAGAAAUGGUAACAGAAUCCAUCCUGUUGACAGUCAAGAUGGAAUUACAGAUAAUUCUCACCUCUUUUUUGACUCUCAGGUGGAAACCCCCUUCCCAUGGGGUGAAGCGCAGUCUGCUCCAGAGCCCCACUGUUGGGGUCGGGGAUGUCACAGAAAUUAACAGGGCAGCCAAUUCCCAUCCAGAGGGGGCCCGGGAUGACCCCGAACCCUCUAGCUCAGCCCCAAGCUCGGGCCAGGGAGUGAAGCCCUUGUCCCCAAGCAACAGAGUGAGGGUCUGUCUCUAACCCGGUGGGCUCCAGUGAAAGGAAAAUGGCCUGGAGGUGCCCACAGGAGGGCGCCCUAGUUCUGAGACAGGUCUACGGCUCCCAGACUGCGUCCCCAUGAGUAACAGAGGGACACGCAGAGGGGCAUACUGAGUGCCUAUAGGGGACUCACGGACUGCAGAUGCACGCUGCGGAACCAGAAGCCGGUCAGGUAAUGAGCUGCAGAGGUGUGGGGAAGACCUGGGUGUCUCCCUGGGUGCCAACCAGCCUAACCAGCCGGGGCCACCAAACAGAAGUGCUUCUGACAUUAACGCGACACACAGAAGGUGUGUAGGGUGGGUAGUGGAAGUGACCCCAGAGGCCUCUGGGGAUUGUAGUUUUGGAACUAGAGAGGCGGGCAAGCAGUUGGCUUCGCCCACACGGUGUGCCUCUCACAUCUGCACAGUGCACACAACCAAGCUUAGGAGCCGACUGUUAAGAUGCCCAAGUGACACGGACAAGUUUCUCCUCUGCAACCCAAUGAGAUCUGCUGACCACGAGAGCAUCGCGGGACCGCCAAAGGAUUCUGGAAAAUGUGGUCCCGGGUGGCCAGUGUGCGCUGACCUUCACCUGAAGGUGAGCUGAGCUCACCAUGCAAGUCUCCACCCUGGGGUGCCCUUCCCGGAGCAGAUGCCAGGUUGGGGCAGCAGUAGUUCAGGGAGAAGCGAUGCCCUCCUGGAACUGCCGGUUUGGGGGCGACAUCGGCCCUGUGUCCCCUAGAGUAGGAGGGUGUACCAGGAUGGGGAACCACAAGGCUGUUUUCAGGGAGAAGAAGAUUGGCUUGGGGCAAACUCCCGGAAUGGAGAUGGGGAGAGUCUGGUCGCAUUUCCCCAGGAGUUUAGGGAUGAAGGCUGGACUUGGGUGAACAGCAAAAGAUCCCCUGGUGAUAGUGGUGGUGAAGAUCAGAGGCUUGAGCCAGAAAUUCCCGAGGUGUUUGUUUGUUUUGUUUUUUUGAGACAGAGUCUUGAUCUGUCUCCCAGGAUGUAGUGCAAUGGCAUGCUCUUGGCUCAUUGCAACCUCCGCCUCCCAGGUUCAAGCGAUUCUCCUGCCUCAGCCUCCCAAGUAGCUGAGAUUACAGGCACCUGCCACUGUGCCCACCUCAAUUUUUUUUGUUUUUUUGUAUUUUUAGUAGAGACGGUGUUUCACCACAUUGCCCAGCCUGGUCUCGAACUCCUGACCUCAAGUGAUCCACCUGCCUCAGCCUCCCAAAGUGCUGGGAUUACAGGCAUGAGCCCCCACACCCAGCUCAUUUUUAUCUUUUAACUUAAAGGUUUUUAUUUUUCUCUCUUUUUACUCUUUCUUACAGGUACGGCUUGAAGGAAACUUCUGGAGGGUGGGGUGGUGUUGAAGAGAAGGCACAGUUGUAACCAUUUUGUUCAACAUGGGCGUUUUCUUUGUGCAUUGAUUUGCAUUUUUAAAGGUAUUCCAUUAAAAAUAUGUUUAUCU